Molecule: transfer RNA, 66 nt
Filed under: Deltocephalus fuscinervosus
Lineage: Eukaryota; Metazoa; Arthropoda; Insecta; Hemiptera; Cicadellidae
Description: tRNA-Ser
Source: RNAcentral
AAGUUACUAAAUAAACCUCUUUCUUAUAUUUUCAAAAUAUAUGCUUUAUAAUAAGCUAAGUAACUA